CAGCAGCCGCGGUAAUACGGGGGGAGCAAGCGUUGUUCGGAUUUACUGGGCGUAAAGGGCGCGUAGGCGGCCACCGCAAGUCAGUUGUGAAAUCUCUGGGCUUAAUCCAGAAAGGUCAACUGAUACUGCGGGGCUAGAGUGCAGAAGGGGCAACUGGAAUUCUCGGUGUAGCGGUGAAAUGCGUAGAUAUCGAGAGGAACACCUGCGGCGAAGGCGGGUUGCUGGGCUGACACUGACGCUGAGGCGCGAAAGCUAGGGGAGCGAACGGGAUUAGAUACCCCGGUAGUCCUAGCCUUAAACGAUGAAUGCUUGGUGUCUGGGGUUUUAUAGUCCCCGGGUGCCGUCGCUAACGCUUUAAGCAUUCCGCCUGGGGAGUACGGUCGCAAGACUGAAACUCAAAGGAAUUGACGG
Molecule: ribosomal RNA, 411 nt
Filed under: uncultured bacterium
Lineage: Bacteria
Description: bacterial SSU rRNA
Rfam family: Bacterial small subunit ribosomal RNA
Source: RNAcentral